RNAcentral lists this ribosomal RNA (513 nucleotides) under uncultured Glomus. Its description in RNAcentral is "SSU rRNA". It matches the Rfam family "Eukaryotic small subunit ribosomal RNA", at positions 569 to 1084 of the family's 1831-position model. Lineage: Eukaryota; Fungi; Glomeromycota; Glomeromycetes; Glomerales; Glomeraceae. The record is from RNAcentral.
AGCAGCCGCGGUAAUUCCAGCUCCAAUAGCGUAUAUUAAAGUUGUUGCAGUUAAAAAGCUCGUAGUUGAAUUUCGGGGUUAGUAGGUUGGUCAUGCCUCUGGUAUGUACUGGUCUCACUGAUUCCUCCUUCCUGAUGAGCCGUAAUGCCAUUAAUUUGGUGUUGCGGGGAAUUUGGACUGUUACUUUGAAAAAUUAGAGUGUUUAAAGCAAGCUAACGCUUGAAUACAUUAGCAUGGAAUAAUGAAAUAGGACGUUCGAUCCUAUUUUGUUGGUUUCUAGGAUUGACGUAAUGAUUAAUAGGGAUAGUUGGGGGCAUUAGUAUUCAAUUGUCAGAGGUGAAAUUCUUGGAUUUAUUGAAGACUAACUACUGCGAAAGCAUUUGCCAAGGAUGUUUUCAUUAAUCAAGAACGAAAGUUAGGGGAUCGAAGACGAUCAGAUACCGUCGUAGUCUUAACCAUAAACUAUGCCGACUAGGGAUCGGAUGAUGUUAAUUUUUAAUGUACUCAUUCGGC